Acanthosepion pharaonis is the source of this 114-nucleotide non-coding RNA. The record is from the annotation of a GenBank genome assembly. Lineage: Eukaryota; Metazoa; Mollusca; Cephalopoda; Sepiida; Sepiidae.
UUACGGCCAUAUCACGUAGUAAUACCGGUUCCCAUACGAUCAACAAAUUUAAGCAAUGUCGAGCCUGGCCAGUACGUAGAUGGGUAACCGCUUGGGAAUAUCAGGUGCCGUAAG